This 230-nucleotide ribosomal RNA is filed under the name uncultured Actinomycetales bacterium. RNAcentral describes it as "partial 16S ribosomal RNA". It matches the Rfam family "Bacterial small subunit ribosomal RNA", at positions 111 to 339 of the family's 1533-position model. Lineage: Bacteria; Bacillati; Actinomycetota; Actinomycetes; Actinomycetales. The record is from RNAcentral.
UAACACGUGAGUAACCUGCCCUUUUCUUUGGGAUAAGCCUGGGAAACUGGGUCUAAUACUGGAUGUUCCGGCUUCCUCGCAUGGGGUUGUUGGGAAAGGUUUUUUCUGGAUUGGGAUGGGCUCGCGGCUUAUCAGCUUGUUGGUGGGGUGAUGGCUUACCAAGGCUUUGACGGGUAGCCGGCCUGAGAGGGUGGUCGGUCACACUGGGACUGAGAUACGGCCCAGACUCC